This 72-nucleotide transfer RNA is filed under the name Cladonia macilenta KoLRI003786. RNAcentral's name for it is "tRNA-Pro (TGG) (tRNA-Pro-TGG-1-1)". It matches the Rfam family "tRNA". Rfam says of the family: Transfer RNA (tRNA) molecules are approximately 80 nucleotides in length. Their secondary structure includes four short double-helical elements and three loops (D, anti-codon, and T loops). Further hydrogen bonds mediate the characteristic L-shaped molecular structure. tRNAs have two regions of fundamental functional importance: the anti-codon, which is responsible for specific mRNA codon recognition, and the 3' end, to which the tRNAs corresponding amino acid is attached (by aminoacyl-tRNA synthetases). tRNAs cope with the degeneracy of the genetic code in two manners: having more than one tRNA (with a specific anti-codon) for a particular amino acid; and 'wobble' base-pairing, i.e. permitting non-standard base-pairing at the 3rd anti-codon position. Lineage: Eukaryota; Fungi; Ascomycota; Lecanoromycetes; Lecanorales; Cladoniaceae. The record is from RNAcentral. RNAcentral also lists the same sequence under 1 other name.
GGCUGGAUAGUUCAGUGGCAGAAUUCUUGCUUUGGGUGUAAGAGGUCCUGGGUUCAAAUCCCAGUUCAGCCC